GAGUUCGUGCAUUCAAGUGACUGCGAUGAGAAGAGCAGGAUAUUCCUCCCGGGUUUCACUAGAAGCAAAGCGUCCUGAGGCCUGGUGCCUUCAGUGCCUUCACAAAGACCCCCUUCUCUGCUUUAAGUGAAAGCUAGAGGAAUGAAGGGCACUUGGCCUGGGAGACCACCCAAGAACAGUGCUUCGUUCAUCACCCGGAGACAGUGGCCUGUUCAAAAGAGGAUUUCUCAACUUUAGAAGGAUGAUUCUGGCUGUGGUGUUGAGAAGAGACUCCAGCGAGGAUGGAAGUUGAGACAAACGUGGCAGCAAGAAGACCCUCUAAGGAGCUACGGCAAUAGAAGAAAAGGACCGAGGUCCUCUCGCCACCAAACUGAAGCUGAAACCUCAGACACUCAGUUCAUCAUUUGAAUGGUAUCAAGAAUAUGAGAUGGUGUGAGGAUGAUGGGAGAAAGGGCAUCUGUUGCUUGUUUUGGUUCCUCCUGAAUCCACAGUCAGUACUCAGUAGAGUAGCCAUGAUUUUAAUUAUUUUAAGAGGAAGAUUCACAAGGAUGUGCCCACAAAACACUGCCAAUUUGCAGCUGAAAAUGAUAACUGGAUUGAUAUUCCUCUUUGAGAUGCAAGCAGAUGCCUCCACCAACUAUCUCGAACCGGAAUGCCGCAGCCUCCCCUUCGUCCGCAUUUAUCCUUGGCAGGAGCACCGUCUAUUUUGGGAAGGACGAAUCCCUGAGGACACCUGCAAAGGACUGGAAGCUCUUAGCAACUCCUUGACCUGAGAGUGAGGAACCGAGUGGCGGGGAGCCCCAGGACCUGCCCAUCAUCACGUCUCUGCAGUGGCCUUGCCACAACCUGCCCGGCGGGUUCUCCUGGAUUGGGGGAAGGUCUGGACCCGUGUCCCUCGGGGGUUCUCCUAGGUCUCUUAUGGAGGAGGUGGCAGGGCAGGGAAUUGCUCAGUGACUUUCGACUCCAUUUCCAAGGCACAUGCAUUGUUAAGUGCUAAGACUUCUGUAAGAUAGUUGGAGUGGAAAAUGGAACCCUUAAUCCUAGACCCUAAAGUUCAACUCUUUCAUGAUCGCUACAAUGGGUGCUAAAGAGAAGAGAACAGAGGAAACAGUCUGGGCAAAUGUAUCCUGUUUGUUGUUAUGGGGCUUUGGUCUCAAAUCUCUGUGGUUGAGCUGAGCUAGUUUGGAGCAUGUGUCAGCUGUGAGCAUGCCCUUUGCCUGUCUAAAUUCAGGUGGAAGACGAAAAGCCUAAUGAUAAGUUCAAGGUCAAAUAAGUCUAAAUAUGAAUAAGAAGCAAUAAAGCAUAGUCCUAAAGUCAGAUGUGAAAGCGAGAGAAUGUGAUGCUUAUGGAUGAGAAAAGUGAGACAGGCCUUAUGGAAUCUCCAGCUUUCAUGCUGGACUUUGUUUGGUAUAGAACCUUCUCAGCAUGGUGCUAGGAUGCUCCCUUCUCAGGAAAUAGCUCAGACGGGAGAAACCUUGAGCUUCUCCCAGUAGCUGAAAGGUGCCUCAAACAUUCAUUACAGCUUCUUAGACAGAGUUCGCUGAGGAAAGUUGUGUUCCCUGGGGCUGAAAAUUCUAGUAGACUGUAGGUGCUUUCAAACUUUGUGGUUUUUAUUUAUUUUUAUUUUAAAAAUUUUUUUGAAAGAUACUUCUUUUAGGCAUAGAAACUUAUACAGAACUCUAAUAUGUAACUGGUUAAAAUGUAUUCUAUUUGUAUAAAUUUAUUUUAGGAACUCAAAUGCAGUGAAGCUUUGCUACAUGCACUCUUUACUGGAUAACAGUGAGGAGAGUGGGCGGGGAGAUAUCCACUCAGUGAAAAGGAGAUUGCAAACCAAAUUUCCAAAA
RNAcentral lists this long non-coding RNA (1844 nucleotides) under Sus scrofa (pig). Its description in RNAcentral is "lncRNA (ENSSSCG00190032010.1)". Lineage: Eukaryota; Metazoa; Chordata; Mammalia; Artiodactyla; Suidae. The record is from RNAcentral.